RNAcentral lists this ribosomal RNA (548 nucleotides) under Shigella flexneri. RNAcentral's name for it is "bacterial SSU rRNA". It matches the Rfam family "Bacterial small subunit ribosomal RNA", at positions 1 to 538 of the family's 1533-position model. The record is from RNAcentral. Lineage: Bacteria; Pseudomonadati; Pseudomonadota; Gammaproteobacteria; Enterobacterales; Enterobacteriaceae. RNAcentral also lists the same sequence under 1 other name.
AAAUUGAAGAGUUUGAUCAUGGCUCAGAUUGAACGCUGGCGGCAGGCCUAACACAUGCAAGUCGAACGGUAACAGGAAGCAGCUUGCUGCUUCGCUGACGAGUGGCGGACGGGUGAGUAAUGUCUGGGAAACUGCCUGAUGGAGGGGGAUAACUACUGGAAACGGUAGCUAAUACCGCAUAACGUCGCAAGACCAAAGAGGGGGACCUUCGGGCCUCUUGCCAUCGGAUGUGCCCAGAUGGGAUUAGCUUGUUGGUGGGGUAACGGCUCACCAAGGCGACGAUCCCUAGCUGGUCUGAGAGGAUGACCAGCCACACUGGAACUGAGACACGGUCCAGACUCCUACGGGAGGCAGCAGUGGGGAAUAUUGCACAAUGGGCGCAAGCCUGAUGCAGCCAUGCCGCGUGUAUGAAGAAGGCCUUCGGGUUGUAAAGUACUUUCAGCGGGGAGGAAGGGAGUAAAGUUAAUACCUUUGCUCAUUGACGUUACCCGCAGAAGAAGCACCGGCUAACUCCGUGCCAGCAGCCGCGGUAAUACGGAGGGUGCAAG